GACGAACGCUGGCGGCGUGCCUAAUACAUGCAAGUAGAACGCUGAAGGAGGAGCUUGCUCUUCUGGAUGAGUUGCGAACGGGUGAGUAACGCGUAGGUAACCUGCCUGGUAGCGGGGGAUAACUAUUGGAAACGAUAGCUAAUACCGCAUAAGAGUAGAUGUUGCAUGACAUUUGCUUAAAAGGUGCAAUUGCAUCACUACCAGAUGGACCUGCGUUGUAUUAGCUAGUUGGUGGGGUAACGGCUCACCAAGGCGACGAUACAUAGCCGACCUGAGAGGGUGAUCGGCCACACUGGGACUGAGACACGGCCCAGACUCCUACGGGAGGCAGCAGUAGGGAAUCUUCGGCAAUGGACGGAAGUCUGACCGAGCAACGCCGCGUGAGUGAAGAAGGUUUUCGGAUCGUAAAGCUCUGUUGUAAGAGAAGAACGAGUGUGAGAGUGGAAAGUUCACACUGUGUCGUAUCUACCAGAAAGGACG
RNAcentral lists this ribosomal RNA (480 nucleotides) under Streptococcus sp. oral taxon 064. RNAcentral describes it as "bacterial SSU rRNA". It matches the Rfam family "Bacterial small subunit ribosomal RNA", at positions 28 to 494 of the family's 1533-position model. The record is from RNAcentral. Lineage: Bacteria; Bacillati; Bacillota; Bacilli; Lactobacillales; Streptococcaceae.